RNAcentral lists this ribosomal RNA (270 nucleotides) under uncultured Cortinarius. RNAcentral describes it as "partial 28S ribosomal RNA". It matches the Rfam family "Eukaryotic large subunit ribosomal RNA", at positions 1 to 261 of the family's 3401-position model. Lineage: Eukaryota; Fungi; Basidiomycota; Agaricomycetes; Agaricales; Cortinariaceae. The record is from RNAcentral.
GUGACCUCAAAUCAGGUAGGACUACCCGCUGAACUUAAGCAUAUCAAUAAGCGGAGGAAAAGAAACUAACAAGGAUUCCCCUAGUAACUGCGAGUGAAGCGGGAAAAGCUCAAAUUUAAAAUCUGGCGGUCUUUUGGCUGUCCGAGUUGUAAUCUAGAGAAGUGUUAUCCGCGCUGGACCGUGUACAAGUCUCCUGGAAUGGAGCAUCAUAGAGGGUGAGAAUCCCGUCUUUGACAUGGACUGCCAGGGCUUUUGUGAUGCGCUCUCAAA